This 374-nucleotide ribosomal RNA is filed under the name uncultured prokaryote. RNAcentral describes it as "bacterial SSU rRNA". It matches the Rfam family "Bacterial small subunit ribosomal RNA", at positions 524 to 896 of the family's 1533-position model. The record is from RNAcentral.
UACAGAGGUCCCGAGCGUUGUUCGGAUUCAUUGGGCGUAAAGGGUGCGUAGGCGGUUGGGUAAGUCAGAUGUGAAAUUCCAGGGCUCAACCUUGGAACUGCAUUUGAUACUGCCUGACUAGAGUACUGGAGAGGAGACUGGAAUUCACGGUGUAGCAGUGAAAUGCGUAGAUAUCGUGAGGAAGACCAGUGGCGAAGGCGAGUCUCUGGACAGUUACUGACGCUGAUGCACGAAGGCUAGGGGAGCAAACGGGAUUAGAUACCCCGGUAGUCCUAGCAGUAAACGGUGCACGUUUGGUGUGGGAGGAAUCGACCCCUUCCGUGCCGGAGCUAACGCGUUAAACGUGCCGCCUGGGGAGUACGGUCGCAAGAUUA